RNAcentral lists this ribosomal RNA (492 nucleotides) under uncultured bacterium. RNAcentral's name for it is "partial 16S ribosomal RNA". It matches the Rfam family "Bacterial small subunit ribosomal RNA", at positions 29 to 507 of the family's 1533-position model. The record is from RNAcentral.
AGUGAACGCUGGCGGUAGGCCUAACACAUGCAAGUCGAACGGCAGCACAGUAAGAGCUUGCUCUUACGGGUGGCGAGUGGCGGACGGGUGAGGAAUACAUCGGAAUCUACUUUUUCGUGGGGGAUAGCGUAGGGAAACUUACGCUAAUACCGCAUACGACCUACGGGUGAAAGCAGGGGAUCUUCGGACCUUGCGCGAUUGAAUGAGCCGAUGUCGGAUUAGCUAGUUGGCGGGGUAAAGGCCCACCAAGGCGACGAUCCGUAGCUGGUCUGAGAGGAUGAUCAGCCACACUGGAACUGAGACACGGUCCAGACUCCUACGGGAGGCAGCAGUGGGGAAUAUUGGACAAUGGGCGCAAGCCUGAUCCAGCCAUACCGCGUGGGUGAAGAAGGCCUUCGGGUUGUAAAGCCCUUUUGUUGGGUAAGAAAAGCAGCAGGUUAAUACCCCGCUGUUCUGACGGUACCCAAAGAAUAAGCACCGGCUAACUUCGUG